This 465-nucleotide ribosomal RNA is filed under the name uncultured bacterium. RNAcentral's name for it is "partial 16S ribosomal RNA". It matches the Rfam family "Bacterial small subunit ribosomal RNA", at positions 28 to 507 of the family's 1533-position model. The record is from RNAcentral.
GACGAACGCUGGCGGCGUGCUUAACACAUGCAAGUCGUACGGUAAGGCCCUUUCGGGGGUACACGAGUGGCGAACGGGUGAGUAACACGUGAGUAACCUGCCCACAACUUUGGGAUAACGCUAGGAAACUGGUGCUAAUACUGGAUAUGUGCUCCUGCUGCAUGGUGGGGGUUGGAAAGCUCCGGCGGUUGUGGAUGGACUCGCGGCCUAUUAGCUUGUUGGUGGGGUAGUGGCCUACCAAGGCGGCGACGGGUAGCCGGCCUGAGAGGGUGACCGGCCACAUUGGGACUGAGAUACGGCCCAGACUCCUACGGGAGGCAGCAGUGGGGAAUAUUGCACAAUGGGCGCAAGCCUGAUGCAGCAACGCCGCGUGCGGGAUGACGGCCUUCGGGUUGUAAACCGCUUUCAGCAGGGACGAAGCUUUUUGUGACGGUACCUGCAGAAGAAGCACCGGCUAACUACGUG